This 330-nucleotide long non-coding RNA is filed under the name Castor canadensis (American beaver). RNAcentral describes it as "lncRNA (ENSCCNG00000017979.1)". Lineage: Eukaryota; Metazoa; Chordata; Mammalia; Rodentia; Castoridae. The record is from RNAcentral.
CCGCCCCCGCGCCGGCGCGCUUCGACGUGCCCUGGAACUUACCCUCCCUCUGAGACCAGCCUGCGGGGACGCCGGGCUGCGGCGGCGACGUCGGCGGUAGCUGCCUUCGGAGCGCGCUCCAGACUCGUGGUGGUGUCCCGCGGCUGCUGUGUUCGCCGAGGAAGGAGCUGCUGGGCCUCGAGGCUCCCCCGGUCCUCGGUUUAAGUGUAACACCAGCUAUUUACAUCUCCUCCUUCUAAGGUAAGUUAUUUUCAUUUUUUAAAGCAGUAUUACUGUAUUAAAUUUGUUGUUUACAUAUUUUGUGCAGAAAUAAAUUUUAGUUGUGAAAAU